RNAcentral lists this ribosomal RNA (498 nucleotides) under uncultured bacterium. RNAcentral's name for it is "partial 16S ribosomal RNA". It matches the Rfam family "Bacterial small subunit ribosomal RNA", at positions 30 to 523 of the family's 1533-position model. The record is from RNAcentral.
AUUGAACGCUGGCGGCAUGCCUUACACAUGCAAGUCGAACGGUAACAGGUCUUCGGAUGCUGACGAGUGGCGAACGGGUGAGUAAUACAUCGGAACGUGCCUAGUAGUGGGGGAUAACUACUCGAAAGAGCGGCUAAUCCCGCAUGAGAUCUACGGAUGAAAGGAGGGGAUCGCAAGAACUUGUGCGACUAGAUCGGCCGAUGGCAGAUUAGGUAGUUGGUGGGAUAAAAGCUUACCAAGCCGACGAUCUGUAGCUGGUCUGGGAGGACGAUCAGCCACACUGGGACUGAGAAACGGCCCAGACUCCUACGGGAGGCAGCAGUGGGGAAUUUUGGACAAUGGGCGCAAGCCUGAUCCAGCAAUGCCGCGUGCAGGAUGAAGGCCUUCGGGUUGUAAACUGCUUUUGUACGGAACGAAAAGCCCCGGGUUAAUACCCUGGGGUCAUGACGGUGCCGUAAGAAUAAGCACCGGCUAACUACGUGCCAGCCGCCGCGGUAA